UGGGGGAAUUUUGGACAAUGGGCGCAAGCCUGAUCCAGCCAUGCCGCGUGCAGGAUGAAGGCCUUCGGGUUGUAAACUGCUUUUGUACGGAACGAAACGGCCUUUUCUAAUAAAGAGGGCUAAUGACGGUACCGUAAGAAUAAGCACCGGCUAACUACGUGCCAGCAGCCGCGGUAAUACGUAGGGUGCAAGCGUUAAUCGGAAUUACUGGGCGUAAAGCGUGCGCAGGCGGUAAUGUAAGACAGUUGUGAAAUCCCCCGGGCUCAACCUGGGAACUGCAUCUGUGACUGCAUUGCUGGAGUACGGCAGAGGGGGGAUGGAAUUCCGCGUGUAGCAGUGAAAUGCGUAGAUAUGCGGAGGAACACCGAUGGCGAAGGCAAUCCCCUGGGCCUGUACUGACGCUCAUGCACGAAAGCGUGGGGAGCAAACAGGAUUAGAUACCCUGGUAGUCCACGCCCUAAACGAUGUCAACUGGUUGUUGGGAAUUCACUUUUCUCAGUAACGAAGCUAACGCGUGAAGUUGACCGCCUGGGGAGUACGGCCGCAAGGUUGAAACUUAAAUGAAUUGACGGGGUCAUAGCUGUUU
This 586-nucleotide ribosomal RNA is filed under the name uncultured bacterium. RNAcentral's name for it is "partial 16S ribosomal RNA". It matches the Rfam family "Bacterial small subunit ribosomal RNA", at positions 354 to 935 of the family's 1533-position model. The record is from RNAcentral.